This 1434-nucleotide ribosomal RNA is filed under the name uncultured organism. RNAcentral describes it as "partial small subunit ribosomal RNA". It matches the Rfam family "Bacterial small subunit ribosomal RNA". The record is from RNAcentral.
CUGUCGGCGUGCUUAACACAUGCAAGUCGAACGGAAAGGCCCUGCUUUUGUGGGGUGCUCGAGUGGCGAACGGGUGAGUAAUACGUGAGUAACCUGCCCUUGACUUUGGGAUAACUUCAGGAAACUGGGGCUAAUACCGGAUAGGAGCUCCUGCUGCAUGGUGGGGGUUGGAAAGCUUCGGCGGUUGGGGAUGGACUCGCGGCUUAUCAGCUUGUUGGUGGGGUAGUGGCUUACCAAGGCUUUGACGGGUAGCCGGCCUGAGAGGGUGACCGGCCACAUUGGGACUGAGAUACGGCCCAGACUCCUACGGGAGGCAGCAGUGGGGAAUAUUGCACAAUGGGCGGAAGCCUGAUGCAGCAACGCCGCGUGCGGGAUGACGGCCUUCGGGUUGUAAACCGCUUUCGCCUGUGACGAAGCGUGAGUGACGGUAAUGGGUAAAGAAGCACCGGCUAACUACGUGCCAGCAGCCGCGGUGAUACGUAGGGUGCGAGCGUUGUCCGGAUUUAUUGGGCGUAAAGGGCUCGUAGGUGGUUGAUCGCGUCGGAAGUGUAAUCUUGGGGCUUAACCCUGAGCGUGCUUUCGAUACGGGUUGACUUGAGGAAGGUAGGGGAGAAUGGAAUCCCUGGUGGAGCGGUGGAAUGCGCAGAUAUCAGGAGGAACACCAGUGGCGAAGGCGGUUCUCUGGGCCUUUCCUGACGCUGAGGAGCGAAAGCGUGGGGAGCGAACAGGCUUAGAUACCCUGGUAGUCCACGCUGUAAACGGUGGGUACUAGGUGUGGGGUCCAUUCCACGGGUUCCGUGCCGUAGCUAACGCUUUAAGUACCCCGCCUGGGGAGUACGGCCGCAAGGCUAAAACUCAAAGGAAUUGACGGGGCCCCGCACAAGCGGCGGAGCAUGCGGAUUAAUUCGAUGCAACGCGUAGAACCUUACCUGGGUUUGACAUGGAUCGGGAGUGCUCAGAGAUGGGUGUGCCUCUUUUGGGGUCGGUUCACAGGUGGUGCAUGGCUGUCGUCAGCUCGUGUCGUGAGAUGUUGGGUUAAGUCCCGCAACGAGCGCAACCCUUGUUCACUGUUGCCAGCACGUUAUGGUGGGGACUCAGUGGAGACCGCCGGGGUCAACUCGGAGGAAGGUGGGGAUGACGUCAAGUCAUCAUGCCCCUUAUGUCCAGGGCUUCACGCAUGCUACAAUGGCUGGUACAGAGAGUGGCGAGCCUGUGAGGGUGAGCGAAUCUCGGAAAGCCGGUCUCAGUUCGGAUUGGGGUCUGCAACUCGACCUCAUGAAGUCGGAGUCGCUAGUAAUCGCAGAUCAGCAACGCUGCGGUGAAUACGUUCCCGGGGCUUGUACACACCGCCCGUCAAGUCAUGAAAGUUGGUAACACCCGAAGCCGGUGGCCUAACCGUUGUGGGGGAGCCGUCGAAGGUGGGACUGGUGAUUA